UACGUAGACAACCAGGAUGUUGGCUCAGAAGCAGCCACACAUUCAAAGAGUGCGUAAUAGCUCACUGGUCGAGCGUCUUUGCGCGGAGAAUUUAACGGGGCUAAACCUGACACCGAAGCUUAGGCAAUACAGCAAUGUAUUGGGUAGGGGAGCGUUGUAUACGCGGUGAAACAGUAGCGCAAGCGGCUGUGGAGUGUAUAGAAGUGAGAAUGCCGGAAUGAGUAGCGCGAAUGCAGUGAGAAUCUGCAUGGCCGAAAGCCUCAGGUUUCUGGAGGAAGGUUCGUCCGCUCCAGGUUAGUCGGGAGCUAAGGUGAGGCCUAACGGCGUAGCCGAUGCACAGACGGUAGAGAUUCCGUCACCACCAAAAGAGUUAAACACAGGGACACAUUUGAAGUCUCGGAGCCGGGUGUUGGUUCCGGUAGCGAUCGAGGGAAGUUAGUACCGAAGUCCGGGAUGGAAGAUGGCGAGAAAAGCUGUGUGUAUUUCUGCGGUGCCCGUACCGCAAACCGACACAGGUAGGUAGGAAGAAGAUUCUAAGGCCAACGGGAGAAGGGUUGUUAAGGAACUCGGCAAAUUGACCCCGUAACUUCGGGAGAAGGGGUGCUCCAGAGAUGGAGCCGCAGAGAAUCGGCCCAAGCAACUGUUUACCAAAAACACAGGUUUGUGCUAAAUCGAAAGAUGACGUAUACGAGCUGACGCCUGCCCGGUGCUGGAAGGUUAAGAGGAGAUGUGCAAGCAUUGAAUCGAAGCCCCAGUGAACGGCGGCCGUAACUAUAACGGUCCUAAGGUAGCGAAAUUCCUUGUCAGGUAAGUUCUGACCCGCAUGAAAGGCGUAAUGAUUUGGGCACUGUCUCGACAGCCCGCCCGGCGAAAUUGUAGUACCGGUGAAGAUGCCGGUUACCCGCGACAAGACGGAAAGACCCCAUGGAGCUUUACUGUAGCCUAAUAUUGGGUUUCGAUGUUGCAUGCACAGGAUAGAUGGGACACAGGGAAACAAGUGCUUUGGCAUUUGUGGAGUGGCCGUUGGGAUACCAUCCUUGCGAUAUUGGAAUUCUAACCUGCGCCUUUGAAUCAAGGCGGGGGACAUUGUUAGGUGGGCAGUUUGACUGGGGCGGUCGCCUCCUAAAGAGUAACGGAGGCGUUCAAAGGUUCGCUCAGCUUGAACGGAAAUCAAGCAAAAGAGUGCAAACGCAGAAGCGAGCCUAACUGCGAGACUGACGGGUCGAGCAGUAACGAAAGUUGGAGUUAGUGAUCCGGUGGUAUGUGAGUGGAAAUGCCAUCGCUCAACGGAUAAAAGUUACCCUGGGGAUAACAGGCUGAUCUCCCCCAAGAGUCCACAUCGACGGGGAGGUUUGGCACCUCGAUGUCGGCUCAUCGCAUCCUGGGGCUGUAUUCGGUCCCAAGGGUUUGGCUGUUCGCCAAUUAAAGCGGUACGCGAGCUGGGUUCAGAACGUCGUGAGACAGUUCGGUCCCUAUCUGUCGUGGGCGCAGGAUAUUUGAUGGGAGCUGUUCCUAGUACGAGAGGACCGGAGCGGACGUACCUCUGGCGCACCAGUUGUUCUGCCAAGGGCAUAGCUGGGCAACUAUGUACGGAUCGGAUAAACGCUGAAAGCAUCUAAGCGUGAAGCCGACCCAAAGAUAAGAUAUCCCAUUGU
Molecule: ribosomal RNA, 1655 nt
Filed under: human gut metagenome
Description: bacterial LSU rRNA
Rfam family: Bacterial large subunit ribosomal RNA
Source: RNAcentral